Molecule: transfer RNA, 73 nt
Filed under: Amycolatopsis carbonis
Lineage: Bacteria; Bacillati; Actinomycetota; Actinomycetes; Pseudonocardiales; Pseudonocardiaceae
Also listed under: 5 other names
Description: Amycolatopsis sp. 2-15 tRNA-Asp
Rfam family: tRNA
About the family: Transfer RNA (tRNA) molecules are approximately 80 nucleotides in length. Their secondary structure includes four short double-helical elements and three loops (D, anti-codon, and T loops).
Source: RNAcentral
GCUCACGUGGCCCAGUGGCGAGGGCAGCUCCUUGUCGAGGAGACGAUCGCGGGUUCGAGUCCCGUCGUGAGCG